Molecule: unclassified non-coding RNA, 245 nt
Filed under: uncultured fungus
Lineage: Eukaryota; Fungi
Description: partial contains 5.8S ribosomal RNA, internal transcribed spacer 2, and large subunit ribosomal RNA
Source: RNAcentral
AACGCACAUUGCGCCCUUUGGUAUUCCUUAGGGCAUGCCUGUUCGAGCGUCAUUUAGACCCUCAAGCUAUGCUUGGUGUUGGGCGCCUGUCCUGCCUGUGGCUGGACUCGCCUUGAAGACAUUGGCGGUUGUUGUAUCAGCUGGAAGCGCAGCAGAGACGCGCCUCUCCUGGCCUGAUGCCCUCCCCCAAGAAGCCAAACCUAUGACUUGACCUCGGAUCAGGUAGGGAUACCCGCUGAACUUAA